This 492-nucleotide ribosomal RNA is filed under the name uncultured bacterium. Its description in RNAcentral is "partial 16S ribosomal RNA". It matches the Rfam family "Bacterial small subunit ribosomal RNA", at positions 29 to 507 of the family's 1533-position model. The record is from RNAcentral.
AGUGAACGCUAGCGGUAGGCCUAACACAUGCAAGUCGAACGGCAGCACAGUCAGAGCUUGCUCUUACGGGUGGCGAGUGGCGGACGGGUGAGGAAUAAAUCGCAAUCUUCUUUUUCGGGGAGGUUAACGUAGGGAAACUUACGCUAAUACCGCAUACGACCUACGGGUAAAAGCAGGGGAUCUUCGGACCUUGCGCGAUUGAAUGAGCGGAUUUCGAAUUGGUUGGUUGGCGGGGUAAUGGCCAACUAAGUCGACGAGCCGUAGCUAGACUGAGAGGAAGAUCAGCCACACGUGUAAUAGGACACGCAGCAGACUCCGAAGGGAGGCACCAGUGGGGAAUAUUCGAGAAUGAGCGGAAGCCUGUUCUAGCCAUACCGCGUGAGUGAAGAAGGCCUUCGGGUUGUAAAGCCCUUUUGUUGGGAAAGAAAAGCAGCAGGGUAAUACUCCGAGGUUCUGACGGUACCCAAAGAAUAAGAACCGGCUAACUUCGUG